This is a long non-coding RNA of Sander lucioperca (pikeperch), 2104 nucleotides long. RefSeq lists it as uncharacterized. The transcript has 2 exons. The record is from RefSeq and is a predicted model, not a curated record. Lineage: Eukaryota; Metazoa; Chordata; Actinopteri; Perciformes; Percidae.
AAAAAAAAGAUGCUGGAAUACUUGACCAGAGUGGAGUGUCCCACAAAACGGAUCGUGGCUUCAAAGCCCGAGCAGGGCUGUACGGGCUUUUGUCGUUGCUGAGGAAAUAUCAGCGAGGGGGUGAGAGAGCCUGUGGACUGCCCUCUGCACUUUCAGUGUCGCACUUGUGCAAGCCUCACUGGAAUAAUGCUCCCCCAGCCCAUACGGACGACAGAGACAAGUGGAGAUGCAACAGCCAAAUGUGGCAAUGAGGGCAGAUCAAAAAAUAUCCCGUUUUCAAAAGAAGCCCCCUUUGGAAAUAUAGGACUGUCUGCAGCAGAAACUCUUUGUUGUUCAACAACUCAGUUGCCUUUUUUUUCUCCAAAUUUGCAUCAAUGUAUUUUUUUGUCUUUUUUUCCCCGUCUGAAAAAAUCUCAAAUCUCAAAGCAUUAAUAUGCAACAGUUUUUAGGCACAUGCUGCAUAUUAUCUCCCAAUUUUUCAUGCAAUGGAUUUUGCUGUCAAUUCAGUCCUUGUCCGGCUUCAGCUUCUUUGAAAACAGGCAUAAUUUGAUAUAUAUGUAUAGGAAUUUUAUAUAUAUAUCAUAUGUAUGUGUUUUCACUGGUGCUCUGCUUGUGGGAUGCUCCAAACAGAAGUGGGAAGAGAAAGGAGAAGCAAUAAAAUGCUUUUUUUUUUUUUUUUUUAUUCCAUCCUCUCCCUUUGUUGUUGCUUCUUCAUCAGUGUGUAUUCCCUUAUUUCCUCGCUGCCUCAGUCUGCUCAGUGCGUCUGUAUCCCGUCUGCUGGUGAUGCUCGCGCUGCUGCUGCUGUUUUCUGCCAGGACUGGAUGACAAUGUCCCCCACACACACACACUCUCUCUCUUUCUCUCUCUCUCUCUCUCUCUCUCUCUCUCUCUCUCUCUCUCUCUCACACUCCUCCCUCUCAAACUCACUCCUCCCUCUCUCACUCACUCCUCCCCUCCCUUUCGGUCUCACACACACACACACAUCUUUUGUGCCUUAAUGAACGCAGCUCUUGCCUGCAGACUCUCCCUUUCACUCCCGUCCUCUCUCUCUCAUUAUGUGUCACAGACACUCUCUUCUCCCAGUUUAGUCCUUAGUCCCACGUUUUUCUUUUCUUUUUGGCUUCCAACUGUUACAACUCACUCCUUGUAUUUUCCCCUUCAUGUUCCCUCCAUUCCUUUCAUCUGCUUUUUUACGCAUUCAUCACCGUUUACCUCCUGUCUGUCUAACCUGUUCAGUUUGCGUGUGCAUGUUUUUAUGUGUAUCUGUGUGUGUGUGUGUGUGUGUGUGUGUGUGUGUGUGUGUGUGUGUGUGUGUGUGUGUGUGUGUGUGUGUGUGUGUGUGUGUUUACUGCGCUAAUGCCUCUGCACAUCCCCAUCUUUGUGGGAGCAUGCAUGAAACAUGUGUGAUGCUGCAGUCUUUAAGAGCUGAUUUAGGGAGAGGGAGAGAGGGAUGGAGGAAGAGAGAGAAAGAGGGAAGGAGGAAGCGAGGGUGAGAUAAACAGAGAGGAAGACGGAGGCAGGAAGAAAGGGAGGGGAGGAGAGAAUUGGACAGCGGAGCGGCUGCCAAAGAGAAGACUUGACAGAGAGUAGCAGGGGAGGGAAAGAAGAGAGGAAUUAUAGCAGGGAAGGGAGGGGGAUUAAGAAACAUAGGGAAAGCAACUGGAAUAGGAACUCACAGAGGGAUAGUGGGAGAGAGUGGGGGAUAGGAAGGGAGUGCAGACAAGUAGGUGUAAAAAAAAAGAAAAGCUAUCUCAAGGGAAAGGGACAUAUUAGAACUGGAGAGAAGAGAGAGGGACUAGUCUUCAGUGACAAUUCAGGAGGGCAAUAUAGAAAUAGUCAAGGUCCCAGAAAAUUCCCAAGAAAUUGACUAGAGAGAGUGUUAUACAUUUUGAAUAAUCCCAGAUAUAAUGUUAAAUGUGAACUAGAUUUUGAAGACGAAGAAGUAUUGCCUUUGGGUCCGACUAUGAACCGGGCAAACCUCAUCAGAAAACACUGAGGGGGGAAAAAAGCAGCAAAGGAAACGUUGCUUAAUAUUUUAUUCUGUUUCUAAGUGGCUUACAUUAUAUUCAUCUUUUUACAUAAAAAGCGUAAAAGGCUUUUCUUU